ACGCGUGGAACCUUACCAACCCUUGACAUGUGUAUCGCGGUUCCAGAGAUGGUUCCUUCAGUUCGGCUGGAUACAACACAGGUGCUGCAUGGCUGUCGUCAGCUCGUGUCGUGAGAUGUUCGGUUAAGUCCGGCAACGAGCGCAACCCACACUUCUAGUUGCCAGCAUUCAGUUGGGCACUCUAGAAUAACUGCCGAUGAUAAGUCGGAGGAAGGUGUGGAUGACGUCAAGUCCUCAUGGCCCUUACGGG
RNAcentral lists this ribosomal RNA (250 nucleotides) under uncultured bacterium. Its description in RNAcentral is "partial 16S ribosomal RNA". It matches the Rfam family "Bacterial small subunit ribosomal RNA", at positions 959 to 1208 of the family's 1533-position model. The record is from RNAcentral.